AGUGAACGCUGGCGGCAGGCCUAAUACAUGCAAGUCGAACGGCAGCACAGUGGAGCUUGCUCCAUGGGUGGCGAGUGGCGGACGGGUGAGGAAUACAUGGGAAUCUGCCCAGUCGUGGGGGAUAACGUAGGGAAACUUACGCUAAUACCGCAUGCGCCCUUCGGGGGAAAGCCGGGGACCUUCGGGCCUGGCGCGAUUGGAUGAGCCCAUGUUCGAUUAGCUAGUUGGCGGGGUAAAGGCCCACCAAGGCGACGAUCGAUAGCUGGUCUGAGAGGAUGAUCAGCCCCACUGGGACUGAGACACGGCCCAGACUCCUACGGGAGGUAGCAGUAGGGAAUAUUGGACAAUGGGCGCAAGCCUGAUCCAGCCAUGCCGCGUGAGUGAAGAAGGCCCUCGGGUUGUAAAGCUCUUUUGUCCGGGAAGAAAAGCAUCGGGCUAAUACCUCGGUGUUCUGACGGUACCGGAAGAAUAAGCACCGGCUAACUUCGUG
RNAcentral lists this ribosomal RNA (490 nucleotides) under uncultured bacterium. Its description in RNAcentral is "partial 16S ribosomal RNA". It matches the Rfam family "Bacterial small subunit ribosomal RNA", at positions 29 to 507 of the family's 1533-position model. The record is from RNAcentral.